GCGGCGGACGGGUGAGUAAUACCUAGGAAUCUGCCUGGUAGUGGGGGACAACGUUUCGAAAGGAACGCUAAUACCGCAUACGUCCUACGGGAGAAAGCAGGGGACCUUCGGGCCUUGCGCUAUCAGAUGAGCCUAGGUCGGAUUAGCUAGUUGGUGAGGUAAUGGCUCACCAAGGCGACGAUCCGUAACUGGUCUGAGAGGAUGAUCAGUCACACUGGAACUGAGACACGGUCCAGACUCCUACGGGAGGCAGCAGUGGGGAAUAUUGGACAAUGGGCGAAAGCCUGAUCCAGCCAUGCCGCGUGUGUGAAGAAGGUCUUCGGAUUGUAAAGCACUUUAAGUUGGGAGGAAGGGUACUUACCUAAUACGUGAGUAUUUUGACGUUACCGACAGAAUAAGCACCGGCUAACUCUGUGCCAGCAGCCGCGGUAAUACAGAGGGUGCAAGCGUUAAUCGGAAUUACUGGGCGUAAAGCGCGCGUAGGUGGUUUGUUAAGUUGAAUGUGAAAUCCCCGGGCUCAACCUGGGAACUGCAUCCAAAACUGGCAAGCUAGAGUAGGGCAGAGGGUGGUGGAAUUUCCUGUGUAGCGGUGAAAUGCGUAGAUAUAGGAAGGAACACCAGUGGCGAAGGCGACCACCUGGGCUCAUACUGACACUGAGG
Molecule: ribosomal RNA, 660 nt
Filed under: Pseudomonas sp. AR-353
Lineage: Bacteria; Pseudomonadati; Pseudomonadota; Gammaproteobacteria; Pseudomonadales; Pseudomonadaceae
Description: bacterial SSU rRNA
Rfam family: Bacterial small subunit ribosomal RNA
Source: RNAcentral